This 70-nucleotide transfer RNA is filed under the name Tetracentron sinense. RNAcentral describes it as "partial transfer RNA-Leu". The record is from RNAcentral. Lineage: Eukaryota; Viridiplantae; Streptophyta; Magnoliopsida; Trochodendrales; Trochodendraceae.
AUCGGUAGACGGUACGGACUUAAAUCCGUCGACUUUCAAAAUCGUGAGGGUUCAAGUCCCUCUAUCCCCA